GGCGCAGUUGUUAGUAGAUACGACUGCCUGCGAAGCAGAAGGUUCCGGGUUCAAUUCCCGGUGGGGUCA
Molecule: non-coding RNA, 69 nt
Organism: Phthorimaea operculella (potato tuberworm)
Lineage: Eukaryota; Metazoa; Arthropoda; Insecta; Lepidoptera; Gelechiidae
Source: the annotation of a GenBank genome assembly